GGAGGUGUAACUCAGUGGUAGAGUGCUUACCUAUCAUGUCAAGGCCCUGGGUUCAAUCCCCAGUAAUGCCC
Molecule: transfer RNA, 71 nt
Filed under: Ictidomys tridecemlineatus (thirteen-lined ground squirrel)
Lineage: Eukaryota; Metazoa; Chordata; Mammalia; Rodentia; Sciuridae
Description: Spermophilus tridecemlineatus (thirteen-lined ground squirrel) tRNA
Rfam family: tRNA
About the family: Transfer RNA (tRNA) molecules are approximately 80 nucleotides in length. Their secondary structure includes four short double-helical elements and three loops (D, anti-codon, and T loops). Further hydrogen bonds mediate the characteristic L-shaped molecular structure. tRNAs have two regions of fundamental functional importance: the anti-codon, which is responsible for specific mRNA codon recognition, and the 3' end, to which the tRNAs corresponding amino acid is attached (by aminoacyl-tRNA synthetases). tRNAs cope with the degeneracy of the genetic code in two manners: having more than one tRNA (with a specific anti-codon) for a particular amino acid; and 'wobble' base-pairing, i.e. permitting non-standard base-pairing at the 3rd anti-codon position.
Source: Rfam by way of RNAcentral